RNAcentral lists this ribosomal RNA (423 nucleotides) under Funchalia villosa. RNAcentral describes it as "partial 16S ribosomal RNA". It matches the Rfam family "Bacterial large subunit ribosomal RNA", at positions 1990 to 2621 of the family's 2925-position model. The record is from RNAcentral. Lineage: Eukaryota; Metazoa; Arthropoda; Malacostraca; Decapoda; Penaeidae.
GUAUGAAAGGUUGGACAAGAAAUAAACUGUCUCAAUUAUAAAAAUUGAAUUUAACUUUUAAGUGAAAAGGCUUAAAUAAUUUAAGGGGACGAUAAGACCCUAUAAAACUUGACAAUAAUUUAAUUAAAUUAUAAAUUGUAAGUAUAACUUGAUUUAAUUGAUACUUGUUCCGUUGGGGCGACGAGAAUAUAAAAUAACUGUUCUUUUAAAUAUUUACAUAUAUAUUUGGUAAAGAUUGAUCCUUUAUUAAAGAUUAAAAGAUUAAGUUACUUUAGGGAUAACAGCGUAAUCUUCUUUGAGAGUUCUCAUCGACAAGAAGGGUUGCGACCUCGAUGUUGAAUUAAGAAAUCCUUAUAAUGCAGCAGUUAUAGAGGAAGGUCUGUUCGACCUUUAAAUUCUUACGUGAUCUGAGUCAGACCGGAG